GGGGGCGAUCGGUUUCGACGGGUGGUCGAAAGCGGGCGCUGCGUGUCGAGGGGGUCACGAUCCUCGUAAAUCCAGUGGCAAGUUGGUAGCGAUAACUGCCGACGACAACUACGCACUCGCUGCCUAGCUGAAACUAGGUCAGUGACGCCCGUCCGUGACGCCUUCUAGCGGGUUGCGGGCGUCAUCAGAAGGCUGGCUCCCGGUCGCUGGCAGACCGUCCCGGGAGCGAGAAUCAUGUCGGCCUGGGCGGUUGCUUCUCCCGUUCUCGUGACUGGCACUGCCGAGAUUGGACGAGAGCUACACACGUAGACGCGCUGGCCGGAAGCCAUGCGGACGCGGGUUCGAUUCC
This 349-nucleotide transfer-messenger RNA is filed under the name Deltaproteobacteria bacterium. RNAcentral describes it as "partial transfer-messenger RNA". It matches the Rfam family "transfer-messenger RNA". From Rfam's summary of the family: Bacterial tmRNA, also known as 10Sa RNA or SsrA, is named for its dual tRNA and mRNA-like properties. Its role is to liberate the mRNA from a stalled ribosome. The record is from RNAcentral. Lineage: Bacteria; Pseudomonadati; Myxococcota; Myxococcia.